CUACGGGAGGCAGCAGUGGGGAAUAUUGCACAAUGGGCGCAAGCCUGAUGCAGCCAUGCCGCGUGUGUGAAGAAGGCCUUCGGGUUGUAAAGCACUUUCAGCGGGGAGGAAGGCAGUAAGGCUAAUAUCCUUAUUGAUUGACGUUACCCGCAGAAGAAGCACCGGCUAACUCCGUGCCAGCAGCCGCGGUAAUACGGAGGGUGCAAGCGUUAAUCGGAAUGACUGGGCGUAAAGCGCACGCAG
Molecule: ribosomal RNA, 243 nt
Filed under: Pectobacterium betavasculorum
Lineage: Bacteria; Pseudomonadati; Pseudomonadota; Gammaproteobacteria; Enterobacterales; Pectobacteriaceae
Description: partial 16S ribosomal RNA
Rfam family: Bacterial small subunit ribosomal RNA
Source: RNAcentral